AACAUUCCUGUGAGCGAGUUGGUGCUGCAACGUGCUGGUCUACAGAGCUACACAAAGGAGUGAUCCGGCCCAUCAGGUAAACUACAGCUCUAGAUAUAACUAAGUGAAGCACGGCUGGAGAGGGAAGAAAUAACACCUGGACUGCUGACUGCCGUCGUGGAAGGGCAAAACAAGAGGACACAAAUGCAUCCAGCUAUUCUCUGUGCUGCUUGGUGUAAUAGAUUAAACUUCAAUGCACCUUGGGCUCUUUUCAUGGGCUUUGCCUGUCACCUUUACACCCUUCAGAGUUCUAUAAGGAAUUAUCAGCACUACGACUCUUUGGCAGUCUUAGUGGGAAACCCUGGGAGGUCAGGAAUAUGGGCCUGUGAAAUGACAUCUUCCUGCCUCGUCCAAAGAUAGCAUUCAUCAUCAUUUAGGCAGAUGUAUGAUGCUGCUAGGCAAAACGCCAGCCAUGGAUCACAUUGGUGUCCCAUUACAGAGCCUACGCUGUCCCAGUGUCUACACAGAGUGGGAAUCUCAAGGCUGGAUACUGAGAGCCUUCCUGGAACUUCAGGGAAAAUAAAUGUACUAAAUCAGUUGGUUAAUUAUCUGUGUCAUUGACCUUGGUGCCUUAAUGGAAAAAUAUGGUUCAGAUAUUACAUGGCUAUAAACAAAAAAUUAUAAGUAGCAUCCAGUGUGUAAUUGACAGAUUUGAGUGCAUUUAAUAGUGUGCAAUG
Molecule: long non-coding RNA, 716 nt
Filed under: Homo sapiens (human)
Lineage: Eukaryota; Metazoa; Chordata; Mammalia; Primates; Hominidae
Description: HSALNT0356334
Source: RNAcentral